GCUGUCACGCCGGUACGAACGGAUUACUUUGAUGAAGUAAAUUAUGGGAUAAUUCUCUGACAUCU
RNAcentral lists this transfer RNA (65 nucleotides) under Lamprotula gottschei. Its description in RNAcentral is "tRNA-Ile". The record is from RNAcentral. Lineage: Eukaryota; Metazoa; Mollusca; Bivalvia; Unionida; Unionidae.